AGAACGAACGCUGGCGGCAGGCCUCAAACAUGCAAGUCUAGGGGGUGUAGCAAUACAUCACCGGCGGACGGGUGCGUAACGCGUGGGAAUGUACCUACUGGUUCGGAACAACUGCGGGAAACUGCAGCUAAUACCGAAUGUGCCCGAAAGGGGAAAGAUUUAUCGCCAGUAGAUCAGCCCGCGUAGGAUUAGCUAGUUGGUGGGGUAAUGGCUCACCAAGGCUCCGAUCCUUAGCUGUUCUGAGAGGAAGAUCAGCCACACUGGGACUGAGACACGGCCCAGACUCCUACGGGAGGCAGCAGUUGGGAAUCUUGGACAAUGGGGGAAACCCUGAUCCAGCCAUGCCGCGUGAGUGAUGAAGGCCUUCGGGUUGUAAAACUCUUUCGACGGGGACGAUAAUGACGGUACCCGUAGAAGAGCUCCGGCUAACUUCGUGCCAGCAGCCGC
RNAcentral lists this ribosomal RNA (447 nucleotides) under uncultured bacterium. RNAcentral describes it as "SSU rRNA". It matches the Rfam family "Bacterial small subunit ribosomal RNA", at positions 26 to 518 of the family's 1533-position model. The record is from RNAcentral.